GUACCCAUAGCUCAAUUGGUAGAGCUCCAGAUUGUGGUUCUGGCGGUUUGAGGGUUCGAGCCCCUCUGGGUACC
RNAcentral lists this transfer RNA (74 nucleotides) under Patescibacteria group bacterium. Its description in RNAcentral is "tRNA-His". It matches the Rfam family "tRNA". From Rfam's summary of the family: Transfer RNA (tRNA) molecules are approximately 80 nucleotides in length. Their secondary structure includes four short double-helical elements and three loops (D, anti-codon, and T loops). Further hydrogen bonds mediate the characteristic L-shaped molecular structure. tRNAs have two regions of fundamental functional importance: the anti-codon, which is responsible for specific mRNA codon recognition, and the 3' end, to which the tRNAs corresponding amino acid is attached (by aminoacyl-tRNA synthetases). tRNAs cope with the degeneracy of the genetic code in two manners: having more than one tRNA (with a specific anti-codon) for a particular amino acid; and 'wobble' base-pairing, i.e. permitting non-standard base-pairing at the 3rd anti-codon position. The record is from RNAcentral.